This is a long non-coding RNA of Gossypium arboreum, 469 nucleotides long. RefSeq lists it as uncharacterized. The transcript has 2 exons. NCBI's taxonomy places the organism in Eukaryota, Viridiplantae, Streptophyta, Magnoliopsida, Malvales, Malvaceae. The record is from RefSeq and is a predicted model, not a curated record.
GGAAAUGCAUCACAAAGUAAAAAGAAAGAGAGAAAUAGGAAACUCCCUCGUCAUCACCUUCCACUCUAGCCUUUUCUUUCCUUCAGGUGUAGGUUUUGAGACUUGGAGAAGGAAUAGGGCAAUCGUGAUCUUAUGGUGGAUGUGGAUGGGUUUCGGUGUUUGAUGCAAUAGCACUAGAUGAAUCAACGGUUGGAUCAACUUCUUGAUACGAAGGAGAAUAGUACAUUGGAGAUUAUACCCACAGUGCCAUAAGAACUCCAAAUUGCACCAAUAUUUGUCACAUGACUAGCUCAAUUGAGUUUGAAUGCAGUAACGAAAAGAACAUUCAAAAGUGGUUUCAAGUUUCAACAGGCUUUAUAGAGGGUGACUUUAAAUUGCUAAAUCCUACCAUGUACUAGGCUUUUAUUUCUCGACUUGUCCUUUCUUUAUCCUAACGUAAUUAUUCUCAAUCAUGGCCAUCUUCUACUCA